RNAcentral lists this ribosomal RNA (460 nucleotides) under uncultured ammonia-oxidizing beta proteobacterium. RNAcentral describes it as "bacterial SSU rRNA". It matches the Rfam family "Bacterial small subunit ribosomal RNA", at positions 202 to 644 of the family's 1533-position model. Lineage: Bacteria; Pseudomonadati; Pseudomonadota; Betaproteobacteria. The record is from RNAcentral.
AAAGCAGGGGAUCGCAAGACCUUGCGCUUUUGGAGUGGCCGAUGCCUGAUUAGCUAGUUGGUGGGGUAAUGGCCUACCAAGGCGACGAUCAGUAGUUGGUCUGAGAGGACGACCAGCCACACUGGGACUGAGACACGGCCCAGACUCCUACGGGAGGCAGCAGUGGGGAAUUUUGGACAAUGGGCGAAAGCCUGAUCCAGCAAUGCCGCGUGAGUGAAGAAGGCCUUCGGGUUGUAAAGCUCUUUCAGUCGAGAAGAAAAGGUUGUGACUAAUAAUCACAACUCAUGACGGUAUCGACAGAAGAAGCACCGGCUAACUACGUGCCAGCAGCCGCGGUAAUACGUAGGGUGCGAGCGUUAAUCGGAAUUACUGGGCGUAAAGGGUGCGCAGGCGGCUUUGUAAGUCAGAUGUGAAAUCCCCGGGCUUAACCUGGGAAUUGCGUUUGAAACUACAAGGCUAG